ACAACAUUCUGACCGUCGGUCUACCGAGCAAUAUCAAUAUCGCUUGGUGGAAGAUCUUCCCUUUGUCGU
This 69-nucleotide microRNA precursor is filed under the name Bombyx mori (domestic silkworm). RNAcentral describes it as "mir-2774 microRNA precursor family". It matches the Rfam family "mir-2774 microRNA precursor family". The record is from Rfam by way of RNAcentral. Lineage: Eukaryota; Metazoa; Arthropoda; Insecta; Lepidoptera; Bombycidae.